Molecule: ribosomal RNA, 388 nt
Filed under: Pasiphaea orientalis
Lineage: Eukaryota; Metazoa; Arthropoda; Malacostraca; Decapoda; Pasiphaeidae
Description: partial 12S ribosomal RNA
Source: RNAcentral
UAGAUACCCUAUUAUUCCAAUAUGAAAAUUUUAAUACUUGAGUAGUAAAUAGUUAUGAGCUGGAAACUUAAAGAAUUUGGCGGUUUUUUAGUCUGAUUAGAGGAACCUGUCCUGUAAACGAUACUACACGAGGAAUUUUUCUUUUUUUUGUAAAAACAGUUUGUAUACCGUCAUUAUGAACAAUUUUUGAAAAAGGGGUGUUAAGAGAGAUUAAAUAUCUAGUAUAUUAGAUCAGGGUGCAGCUAAUGAAAAAGUGUGAGAUGGGUUACAAUGAAACUAAUUUAAAUGGAUUUAGUAAAUGAAAUGUUUUAAUGAAGGUGGAUUUAAUAGUAAAUAUAGUUUUAGAGGAAUAUAUUGAGCUUAGCCCUGAAAAGUGUACACAUCGCCC